CCUCCUCCGGCUCCCGGCUCGGACGAGCGGCCGCUCCCGGACCCCUUGUCCUCUCCGGCUCCCCCCAUAGGAGCAAGAGGCUGUAAGGGAAGCGCGGGCGGCUUGCUGCCGCACCGUGAACAUCGGCGGGGUCACCCAUGGAGGCAAGACCACUCUGACCCACAAGCUCAUGCAGGCCCUGCUCAACUGCAGCGUGGUGCAUCAGGAUGACUUCUUCCAGCCCCAGGACAACAUAGAAGUUGAAGAUGGAUUUAAACAGUAUGAUGUA
Long non-coding RNA from Dermochelys coriacea (leatherback sea turtle), 268 nucleotides. RefSeq lists it as uncharacterized. The record is from RefSeq and is a predicted model, not a curated record. The transcript has 3 exons. NCBI's taxonomy places the organism in Eukaryota, Metazoa, Chordata, Testudines, Dermochelyidae.